This 465-nucleotide ribosomal RNA is filed under the name Vreelandella stevensii. Its description in RNAcentral is "partial 16S ribosomal RNA". It matches the Rfam family "Bacterial small subunit ribosomal RNA", at positions 338 to 795 of the family's 1533-position model. Lineage: Bacteria; Pseudomonadati; Pseudomonadota; Gammaproteobacteria; Oceanospirillales; Halomonadaceae. The record is from RNAcentral.
CCUACGGGUGGCUGCAGUGGGGAAUAUUGGACAAUGGGGGGAACCCUGAUCCAGCCAUGCCGCGUGUGUGAAGAAGGCCCUCGGGUUGUAAAGCACUUUCAGUGAGGAAGAACGCCUGGUGGUUAAUACCCAUCAGGAAAGACAUCACUCACAGAAGAAGCACCGGCUAACUCCGUGCCAGCAGCCGCGGGAAUACGGAGGGUGCGAGCGUUAAUCGGAAUUACUGGGCGUAAAGCGCGCGUAGGUGGCUUGAUAAGCCGGUUGUGAAAGCCCCGGGCUCAACCUGGGAACGGCAUCCGGAACUGUCAAGCUAGAGUGCAGGAGAGGAAGGUAGAAUUCCCGGUGUAGCGGUGAAAUGCGUAGAGAUCGGGAGGAAUACCAGUGGCGAAGGCGGCCUUCUGGACUGACACUGACACUGAGGUGCGAAAGCGUGGGUAGCAAACAGGAUUAGAUACCCCAGUAGUC